AACGAACGCUGGCGGCAGGCUUAACACAUGCAAGUCGAACGCCCCGCAAGGGGAGUGGCAGACGGGUGAGUAACGCGUGGGAACAUACCCUUUUCUACGGAAUAGCUCUGGGAAACUGGAAUUAAUACCGUAUACGCCCUACGGGGGAAAGAUUUAUCGGGGAAGGAUUGGCCCGCGUUGGAUUAGCUAGUUGGUGGGGUAAAGGCCUACCAAGGCGACGAUCCAUAGCUGGUCUGAGAGGAUGAUCAGCCACAUUGGGACUGAGACACGGCCCAAACUCCUACGGGAAGCAGCAGUGGGGAAUAUUGGGCAAUGGGCGCAAGCCUGAUCCAGCCAUGCCGCGUGAGUGAUGAAGGCCUUAGGGUUGUAAAGCUCUUUCACCGAUGAAGAUAAUGACGGUAGUCGGAGAAGAAGCCCCGGCUAACUUCGUG
Molecule: ribosomal RNA, 431 nt
Filed under: uncultured bacterium
Lineage: Bacteria
Description: partial 16S ribosomal RNA
Rfam family: Bacterial small subunit ribosomal RNA
Source: RNAcentral